Molecule: long non-coding RNA, 626 nt
Organism: Bos taurus (domestic cattle)
Lineage: Eukaryota; Metazoa; Chordata; Mammalia; Artiodactyla; Bovidae
Source: Ensembl
CUCUCAAAUCCUAGGUGUGUCCCUGCCCAGUAACUGCUAUCUCUUGCAUACAGUGGGAUUACAUGUGAUAAAUGUGUCCAUUCUGCUAGGAUCGGCUAAUGAGACAAAGACAACUUUCCACAUUAAUGAUUUUUUAUUAGUGUUCUCAGUAUUCCAGAAUCCAAAUACCAUGGAACUUUAAAAUAACCUGAAAACAGAGAGGUUUGAAUAACUCUUGCUCAAAUAAUCAUCAUAACAGCGAGAAACUUGGACACAGGAGACAAACAUCACCAGCUUCAUGAUACCUUCAUCAUGCAGUCUUCUGUCAGUUGGAGGAAGAAGAGAGAAACAUGGUUGUUCAGAAAUCUAAUAAUCUCUUUGGAAAAUCCUCAAACACAGCAUUACUAUUCCACACACACUUGUGUGGACAAGCUCAUUGCUCUAUCAAGCUUCCCGGGAAAGAAGGAAGAUGUUGAAUCAAGCUGCAUUCUUUAUAAGCUAUGUACUUGCUCAGAGGUGGACAGACUUUCCCUACUGUAUCCUCCCUUCCUUAGGGUUCUCUUCCCAAGGAAGUCUAAACUAAUCAAGACUCAUGAGGGAUGAAGAAAUGUCAUUGAAUCAUACAAAGCUGGUUUUGUGUCCCAGGG